CCUACGGGUGGCAGCAGUGAGGAAUAUUGGGCAAUGGGCGCAAGCCUGACCCAGCAACGCCGCGUGAAGGACGAAGGCUUUCGGGUUGUAAACUUCUUUUCUCAGGGACGAAGAAUGUGACGCUACCGCCUGACUAAGCCACCUCUAACUACGUGCCUGCACCCGCUGCAAUCCGGAGGUGGCAAUCGUUCUCCGGAUUUGUUGGGUGUAAAGGGCGGGUAGGCGGGAGCGCAAGUCAGAGGUGAAAACUCAGGGCUCAACCCUGGGCCUGCCUUUGAAACUGUGUGUCUUGAGUGCUGGAGAGGCAGUCGGAAUUCCGUGUGUAGCGGUGAAAUGCGUAGAUAUACGGAGGAACACCAGUGGCGAAGGCGGAUUGCUGGACGGUAACUGACGCUGAGGCGCGAAAGCGUGGGGAGCAAACAGGAUUAGAUACCCGAGUAGUC
RNAcentral lists this ribosomal RNA (443 nucleotides) under uncultured bacterium. RNAcentral's name for it is "partial 16S ribosomal RNA". It matches the Rfam family "Bacterial small subunit ribosomal RNA", at positions 338 to 795 of the family's 1533-position model. The record is from RNAcentral.